AACUAAGCGGAGGAAAAGAAACCAACAGGGAUUGCCCCAGUAACGGCGAGUGAAGCGGCAACAGCUCAAAUUUGAAAUCUGGCCCCAGGCCCGAGUUGUAAUUUGCAGAGGAUGCUUUUGGCGCGGUGCCUUCCGAGUUUCCCUGGAACGGGACGCCAUAGAGGGUGAGAGCCCCGUACGGUUGGACACCAAGUCUUUGUAAAGCUCCUUCGACGAGUCGAGUAGUUUGGGAAUGCUGCUCAAAAUGGGAGGUAUAUUUCUUCUAAAGCUAAAUAUUGGCCAGAGACCGAUAGCGCACAAGUAGAGUGAUCGAAAGAUGAAAAGCACUUUGAAAAGAGGGUUAAACAGCACGUGAAAUUGUUAAAAGGGAAGCGCUUAUGACCAGACUUGCGCCCGGUGAAUCACCCAGCUCUCGCGGCUGGGGCACUUUGCCGGCUCAGGCCAGCAUCAGCUCGCUGUCGGGGACAAAAGCUUCGGGAACGUAGCUCUCUUCGGGGAGUGUUAUAGCCCGUUGCACAAUACCCUUCGGCGGGCUGAGGUACGCGCUCCGCAAGGAUGCUGGCGUAAUGGUCAUCAGCGACCCGUCUUGAAACACGGACCAAGGAGUCAACCUUAUGUGCGAGUGUUUGGGUGUCAAACCCCUACGCGUAAUGAAAGUGAACGCAGGUGAGAGCUUCGGCGCAUCAUCGACCGAUCCUGAUGUUCUCGGAUGGAUUUGAGUAAGAGCAUAUAGGGUUGGACCCGAAAGAAGGUGAACUAUGCGUGUAUAGGGUGAAGCCAGAGGAAACUCUGGUGGAGGCUCGCAGCGGUUCUGACGUGCAAAUCGAUCGUCAAAUAUGCGCAUGGGGGCGAAAGACUAAUCGAACCUUCUAGUAGCUGGUUU
This 883-nucleotide ribosomal RNA is filed under the name Colletotrichum karsti. RNAcentral describes it as "LSU rRNA". It matches the Rfam family "Eukaryotic large subunit ribosomal RNA", at positions 44 to 957 of the family's 3401-position model. The record is from RNAcentral. Lineage: Eukaryota; Fungi; Ascomycota; Sordariomycetes; Glomerellales; Glomerellaceae.